Tympanuchus pallidicinctus (lesser prairie-chicken) is the source of this 1860-nucleotide long non-coding RNA. RefSeq lists it as uncharacterized. The transcript is spliced from 5 exons. NCBI's taxonomy places the organism in Eukaryota, Metazoa, Chordata, Aves, Galliformes, Phasianidae. The record is from RefSeq and is a predicted model, not a curated record.
UCUACCAGGAAAUGUUUCUGAGCCAUAACAGAUUUAGUUGCUGUAUGCCUGUGAUAUACUCUGGGAUCUCCUCUGCUAGCUCUUGCUCCUGAUUAAUACAGAUGAUUGAUGCUUGCCUGCUUUGGGGUGCUGCAAGAUGUUAGAAUGCCUGAGAUUGUGUGAUACUUAUGAUGCUGAAGGAAAGGCCACAGUUGUCUUUACCCUGCAAUCAGUUUCAUCAAGAGGGCAGUGGAGCCUUUACUAAAUAUCCUGGAUCAUGUCAUAAGGGACGCAACACAUCAGCAAUAACAAGGUAUGAUGAUGAUAUGUCUGAGGGUUACAAAGAUUAUGGAUUCCUUGGAUAUAUUUUUUUUUCUUUCCUUCUGCGGCUUGAGUGAUGAAAGCAUGGCCCAGGUGGCCCCAGUAAGUGAAGUACUGAAACUCUGGUCCACUUGGAUUGAAGUGAACAGACAGGGAAAUAACACGAAACAAGUUUGUGUGAUGCCAGCAAGUCUCACCGCAGUGAGGCAUUCACUUAUCCUUCCCUCCUGUCUGCGUGUUCACUUCGACCACCUUGCCUGGCUUUUCAACAAGCAUUUUAUGUCCUGAUCAUUGAUCAGUGGAGAAUGCUCGAUGUGUUCAUUAUGGUUCUGCAGACAACUAUAUUGUUCCUUGGGAUGACUGUACAUCCAUCCGUUGGUAAUCAGUGGCAUGCUGAGGAUUUUCCAUUAUUGAAGAUGUUGGAGGUAGGCUACAGUAUUACAGAUUAGAUUUUGGAGUACUGCAUAGACUUUUUUGCAAAGCAAGUUUGGCAACAUUUGAUUCAAAGAGUUACUGAUUUCUAUCAAUAGUCAAAGUUGCUUUUCACUAGCUCUCUGCCAUUAGUAAAGGCUGCACUUCUUGUCCUUUAUGGAUGUAAGACUUGUUUAGAUCUUGAUUCUCUUUUUCUAUUUUAUGUCAUAUAGAUCUUCUUCUAGGCCUUUUUUUCCAUUUAUUAGAACAAACACUGAUAGGAAAAGUACAAUGUCUGUGAAUAACACUCCAUUAAGUUUAACUUACAAAGUUGAGUGAAUUAACUCAGAUUCUCACAUUUCUAAGAGCUCUGUCAAAUCCAGUGCAGAUGUUGGGGCUAAGGGAUGACAAUGAGCAGAAAUUUGAGCAAGUGAAUAAAUUUGUUGGCGGUACAACAAAUGAUGGUAUUUUCACACAAUCUGGUAUUUUUUCAGAAGUCAUGGUUUGGGAUCUGUCUUGUAGAUAUUGUAAAGGUACACACCUACAAAGAUUUUUUGUUAAGUAAGCUCGUUUCUGUUUCAAGCCAUAGAGGAAUAGGUUUGCUAUGAUGUAUCACUCCUUCGUCUUGUCUUGCACUGAAUAAUUUGUGAGAAUUAAGAAAAAGCAUUUAGCCCCAGCAUUUAGCAUUUAGCCUGGCUUACCUUGGGGUGCAGGUGAUGCUUCACAUGCAUUUCGAUUGCUUACAGGCAAGUCUAUCAGUAUGAGUCUAAGGCUCCAAGCAGCCGACUGGAAUGUAUAUUGCCAGAUAUGUUGAUUUACAGUCCUUUGGAUGUUGAUGACUUGCCCUAUCAUACAGGGCAGUGAUGUGAAGGUAUGAGAAAUGGUUGCUGCGUAAACAUUCUGUACCUCUGACAAUCAAAUCAGUCAGUACUCUGUUGCCCAUUGUGUUUUCACUGAAAAGGUUGUGUACAUAAAGUAGUCAGUGUGACCACUGAUAUUUACUGUGCAUUUUUAAAGAAAAACUUCUGGAGACAGAAUGUGUAUGCGUGUAAGGAGGUAAUGCACCACAUUUUUUGCCUUCCUCAGUUUUUAUUCAAAUCUUGCUGUUAUAUUUAUUGUUAUAUGAUAAAAACAAACAAACCAACAAAA